This 499-nucleotide ribosomal RNA is filed under the name uncultured bacterium. RNAcentral's name for it is "partial 16S ribosomal RNA". It matches the Rfam family "Bacterial small subunit ribosomal RNA", at positions 32 to 506 of the family's 1533-position model. The record is from RNAcentral.
AAUCAACGCUGGCGGCGUGCCUAACACAUGCAAGUCGAACGCGAAAGCCCCGCAAGGGGUCAGUAGAGUGGCAAACGGGUGAGUAACACGUGGGUGACCUGCCUUCGAGUGGGGGAUAACGUCCCGAAAGGGACGCUAAUACCGCAUGACAUCCUGCUUUUGAAAAAGCGGAGAUCAAAGCUGGGGAUCGCAAGACCUAGCGCUUGAAGAGGGGCCCGCGCCUGAUUAGCUAGUUGGUGAGGUAACGGCUCACCAAGGCGACGAUCAGUAUCCGGCCUGAGAGGGCGGACGGACACACUGGGACUGAGACACGGCCCAGACUCCUACGGGAGGCAGCAGUGGGGAAUUGUUCGCAAUGGGCGCAAGCCUGACGACGCAACGCCGCGUGGAGGACGAAGAUCUUCGGGUCGUAAACUCCUGUCGAGCGGGACGAACGCUUCGCGGAUGAAUAAUCCGCGGAAUUGACGGUACCGCUAAAGGAAGCCCCGACUAACUCCGU